UGGGGAGGCGAGUGAGGAUCGCGGCGCACCUUGAGUGUGUCGAGGAAAGUCCGAGCUCCGCAGGGCAGGGUGCCGGCUAACGGCCGGGCGCCGCAAGGCGACGGAAAGUGCAACAGAAAGCAAACCGCCGAUGGCUGGGUAACCGGCACAGGCAAGGGUGAAAGGGUGCGGUAAAAGCGCACCGCGGGUCUGGUAACAGGCCUGGCAUGGUAAACCCCACCCGGAGCAAGGCCAAGCAGGGACGAGGGGCUGCCCGCCCCGUUAUCAGUCCCGGGUAGGCUGCAUGAGGUCAUCGGCAACGGUGGUCCCAGAGAAAUGAUCCCGCCGCUCUUCGGAGCGGAACAGAACUCGGCUUAUUCCGCCUCCCCAGCCA
Molecule: RNase P RNA, 373 nt
Filed under: Gemmatimonadota bacterium
Lineage: Bacteria; Pseudomonadati; Gemmatimonadota
Description: Gemmatimonadetes bacterium (soil metagenome) RNase P RNA component class A
Rfam family: Bacterial RNase P class A
About the family: Ribonuclease P (RNase P) is a ubiquitous endoribonuclease, found in archaea, bacteria and eukarya as well as chloroplasts and mitochondria. Its best characterised activity is the generation of mature 5'-ends of tRNAs by cleaving the 5'-leader elements of precursor-tRNAs. Cellular RNase Ps are ribonucleoproteins.
Source: RNAcentral